AACAUCGCGCACCUGCGGGAACCUGCGGAAGGAUCAUUACCGAGUGAGGGCCCUCUGGGUCCAACCUCCCACCCGUGUUUAUCGUACCUUGUUGCUCCGGCGGGCCCGCCGCAAGGCCGCCGGGGGGCGUCUGUCCCCGGGCCCGCGCCCGCCGAAGACACCUGUGAACGCUGUAUGAAGAUUGCAGUCUGAGCGAAAAGCUAAAUCGUUAAAACUUUUAACAAUGGAUCUCAGAUCGGA
RNAcentral lists this unclassified non-coding RNA (240 nucleotides) under soil metagenome. Its description in RNAcentral is "partial contains 5.8S ribosomal RNA, internal transcribed spacer 2, and large subunit ribosomal RNA". The record is from RNAcentral.